CCUACGGGGGGCAGCAGUGAGGAAUAUUGGUCAAUGGCCGUAAGGCUGAACCAGCCAAGCCGCGUGAAGGAAGAAGGUGCUAUGGUUUGUAAACUUCUUUUAUAGGGGAAUAAAGGUAUCCACGUGUGGAUAUUUGCAUGUACCUUAUGAAUAAGCAUCGGCUAACUCCGUGCCAGCAGCCGCGGUAAUACGGAGGAUGCGAGCGUUAUCCGGAUUUAUUGGGUUUAAAGGGUGCGUAGGUUGUUUUUUAAGUCAGCGGUGAAAGUUUGUGGCUCAACCAUAGAAUUGCCGUUGAAACUGGAGGACUUGAGUGUGUUUGAGGUAGGCGGAAUGCGUAGUGUAGCGGUGAAAUGCAUAGAUAUCACGCAGAACUCCGAUUGCGAAGGCAGCAUACGA
RNAcentral lists this ribosomal RNA (396 nucleotides) under uncultured bacterium. Its description in RNAcentral is "partial 16S ribosomal RNA". It matches the Rfam family "Bacterial small subunit ribosomal RNA", at positions 338 to 731 of the family's 1533-position model. The record is from RNAcentral.